AAUGUUAAAUUAAGGUAGAAGUACUAGUGCUCGACGCUGCACUAGUAUUCGACAUGGGCACUUUAUGUCAAAGUGACAAGGAUUAAAUUUGAAUACAGAAAAAUCUUCGCUGUUCAAAUUUAACCUAUAUUACUUUGACAUAAAGUGCCCAUGUCGAAUACUAGUGCAGCGUCAAGCACUAGUACUUCUACCUUAUUUCUUUUACAAUAAUUUAAAUUUCAGCUGCAAACCAGAUUCAGAUCAGAUCUUCACAUGCCAGAGUACCUCUGUCAACAUCAAACAGUGAAAAUGCACAAACUUCAGCUACUGCAUCUACGAGUACAGGCCAAGCUUGUCUGAAAUCUGGAAUAAGCAUUCGACUGGAUAAAGCGGCAAUACCAGCUAAACGCCCCCGCUUUGCUGACAAACAACCUGGCGGAUCUAUAGGGAUACUCUAGUUCAGCGGUCGGCAACAAGCGGCCCUCUCACUCGCGGCCCGCGAGCCCCCCUGGCUAUUUUGUAUGUAAUAUUGUCAAACAACAAUGUCUGAUUAAAGUCACACAUAUUAACAAAAGUGCGGCCCGCGUCAACUUCCUUAACUACUAUGUGGCCCUUGGCUGCUAAAAGGUUGCCGACCGCUGCUCUAGUUCUUGCUUCUGAUAAUCGAAAAACGCAGCGAGCAAAUCA
Cydia splendana is the source of this 666-nucleotide long non-coding RNA. RefSeq lists it as uncharacterized. The transcript is spliced from 3 exons. The record is from RefSeq and is a predicted model, not a curated record. Lineage: Eukaryota; Metazoa; Arthropoda; Insecta; Lepidoptera; Tortricidae.